GGACUACCGGGGUAUCUAAUCCCGUUUGCUCCCCUGGCUUUCGCGCCUCAGCGUCAGUAGAGGGCCAGCGUGUCGCUUUCGCCACCGGCGUUCCUUCCGAUAUCUACGCAUUUCACCGCUCCACCGGAAGUUCCACACGCCCCUACCUCCCUCGAGACCGCCAGUAUCAGGGGCUCUUCUGCGGUUGAGCCGCAGGAUUUCACCCUUGACUUGGCAGUCCGCCUACGCGCCCUUUAAGCCCAGUGAUUCCGAAUAACGUUCGCACGGUUCGUCUUACCGCGGCUGCUGGCAC
This 292-nucleotide ribosomal RNA is filed under the name uncultured Planctomycetota bacterium. Its description in RNAcentral is "uncultured planctomycete partial 16S ribosomal RNA". Lineage: Bacteria; Pseudomonadati; Planctomycetota. The record is from RNAcentral.